Molecule: ribosomal RNA, 253 nt
Filed under: uncultured bacterium
Lineage: Bacteria
Description: partial 16S ribosomal RNA
Rfam family: Bacterial small subunit ribosomal RNA
Source: RNAcentral
UACGAAGGGGGCUAGCGUUGCUCGGAAUGACUGGGCGUAAAGGGCGCGUAGGCGGAUGGCACAGUCAGAUGUGAAAUUCCCGGGCUUAACCUGGGGGCUGCAUUUGAUACGUGUGAUCUAGAGUGAGGAAGAGGGUCGUGGAAUUCCCAGUGUAGAGGUGAAAUUCGUAGAUAUUGGGAAGAACACCGGUGGCGAAGGCGGCUCACUGGCUCGUAUCUGACGCUCAGGCGCGACAGCGUGGGGAGCAAACAGG